CUGUGUGAAUUGCAGAAUCCCGUGAACCAUCGAGUCUUUGAACGCAAGUUGCGCCCGAGGCCAUCCGGUCGAGGGCACGCCUGCCUGGGCGUCA
This 94-nucleotide ribosomal RNA is filed under the name Crocus sativus. Its description in RNAcentral is "partial 5.8S ribosomal RNA". It matches the Rfam family "5.8S ribosomal RNA", at positions 63 to 154 of the family's 154-position model. Rfam says of the family: 5.8S ribosomal RNA (5.8S rRNA) is a component of the large subunit of the eukaryotic ribosome. The record is from RNAcentral. Lineage: Eukaryota; Viridiplantae; Streptophyta; Magnoliopsida; Asparagales; Iridaceae.